GGGGGCACCCUGGCGGCGAGCGGCGAACGGGUGAGUAAUACAUCGGAACGUACCCAGGAGUGGGGGAUAACACAUCGAAAGAUGUGCUAAUACCGCAUACGCCCUGAGGGGGAAAGCGGGGGAUCGCAAGACCUCGCGCUGUUGGAGCGGCCGAUGUCGGAUUAGCUAGUUGGUAGGGUAAAGGCCUACCAAGGCGACGAUCCGUAGCUGGUCUGAGAGGAUGAUCAGCCACACUGGGACUGAGACACGGCCCAGACUCCUACGGGAGGCAGCAGUGGGGAAUUUUGGACAAUGGGGGCAACCCUGAUCCAGCCAUUCCGCGUGAGUGAAGAAGGCCUUCGGGUUGUAAAGCUCUUUCGGCAGGAACGAAACGGCGGGCUCUAACAUGGCCUGUCAAUGACGGUACCUGAAGAAGAAGCACCGGCUAACUACGUGCCAGCAGCCGCGGUAAUACGUAGGGUGCGAGCGUUAAUCGGAAUUACUGGGCGUAAAGCGUGCGCAGGCGGUUUUGUAAGACAGCUGUGAAAUCCCCGGGCUUAACCUGGGAACUGCGGUUGUGACUGCAAGACUAGAGUGCGGCAGAGGGGGGUGGAAUUCCACGUGUAGCAGUGAAAUGCGUAGAGAUGUGGAGGAACACCGAUGGCGAAGGCAGCCCCCUGGGUUGACACUGACGCUCAUGCACGAAAGCGUGGGUAGCAAACAGGAUUAGAUACCCUGGUAGUCCACGCCCUAAACGAUGCCAACUAGGUGUUGGGGGAAGGAGACUUCCUUAGUACCGUAGCUAACGCGUGAAGUUGGCCGCCUGGGGAGUACGGUCGCAAGAUUAAAACUCAAAGGAAUUGACGGGGACCCGCACAAGCGGUGGAUGAAGGUGGAUUAAUUCGAUGC
Molecule: ribosomal RNA, 888 nt
Filed under: uncultured bacterium
Lineage: Bacteria
Description: bacterial SSU rRNA
Rfam family: Bacterial small subunit ribosomal RNA
Source: RNAcentral